Molecule: unclassified non-coding RNA, 351 nt
Filed under: soil metagenome
Description: partial contains 5.8S ribosomal RNA, internal transcribed spacer 2, and large subunit ribosomal RNA
Rfam family: 5.8S ribosomal RNA (bases 1-120)
Source: RNAcentral
GAUGAAGAACGUAGCGAAAUGCGAUAAGUAAUGUGAAUUGCAGAAUUCAGUGAAUCAUCGAAUCUUUGAACGCACAUUGCGCCCGCCAGUAUUCUGGCGGGCAUGCCUGUCUGAGCGUCAUUUCAACCCUCAGCCCCCGCUCGCGGGGCGCUGGCGUUGGGGAUCGGCAGUCCUCGCGGCGGCCGGCCCCGAAACACAGUGGCGGUCUCUCGCGGACUCCCCUGCGUAGUAGCACUACCUCGCAGAAGGGACGAGCGGGCUGACCACGCCGUAAAACCCCCCACUUCUCCAGGUUGACCUCAGAUCAGGUAGGAAUACCCGCUGAACUUAAGCAUAUCAAUAAGCGGAGGA